This 1152-nucleotide long non-coding RNA is filed under the name Sus scrofa (pig). RNAcentral's name for it is "lncRNA (ENSSSCG00065044429.1)". Lineage: Eukaryota; Metazoa; Chordata; Mammalia; Artiodactyla; Suidae. The record is from RNAcentral.
AGCGGGAACUCUCUUCUUCUCUUUUCAGAAGGUUUUUUGUUUGUUUCUUUUCUCUUUUGGCUGCACCCACGGCAUGUGGAAGUUCCUGGGCCAGAGAUCAAACCAGCGCCACAGCGGAGACCCGAGGCGCUGCAGUGACAAUGCCUGAUCCUUAACCAGCUGAGCCAUAAGAGAGCUCCCAGAAGUUUUUGUUUUUACAUAGAGAGCAAAACAACCAUAUAUGCUGUCUUGAAGACUAGAUAGCUACUUCUUAGGCUAGCUCUGCAAACUCCUGCAAAACCCCGUCUCUGCUGGACAGCAAUGUGAUAAAGCAAACGUCGGCAGCUGCUCAUGUGUCGUGAGUUCAUAGGUACUCACUGUACAGUCGCGUCAGCUUUCCUGUUGGCGUGGAACUGUUUGUACCAGGACAUUCGGAGGGACAUUAGAAAACGUCUGUUUAGACUCUGCUCUGGGAGAGUUCGAUUAAUUUAAAUAAGUGGUCUCUUUUCUCCUGUUCAUCGUGUUCAUGAUUUAUUUCUAGGAUUUAAACAUUUUAGCUGAGGAUUUGGCACCUUAAUUUUUUUUUCUUCUUCCCUUUCAGUUUUUCUUUAACAUCAGCACUGAUGACCAAGAAGGCCUGUACAGUCUUUAUUUUCAUAAAUGCCCUGGAAGCAAAAUAAGGUCUAAUGACAAGUUUUCAUUCAGCCUUGAUAUCGAGAUCACAGAGAAGAAUCCUGACAGCUACCUCUCAGCGGGAGAGAUUCCUCUCCCUAAAUUAUACAUUUCCAUGGCCUUUUUCUUUUUUCUCUCUGGGACUGUCUGGAUCCACAUCCUUCGCAAACGACGGUAAAUUGUCAUCUCCUUGAGCGCCUCACCCAGGAGUGCUUCGGGGUUUGUGUACUUUGACCUUCUGCUGUCUUUUGAGCCCGGAGGGUCCGGCACCGGCAACCUCCUUCUCUUCAAAGGGCCUCUCCUCCCAGACAAAGGGAGGCUGUCCAGGAGCUUUGCCUGUGGGAGGCCUUUGCAUGCCUCGGUGUUUGUUCACUUCCCAUCGCUUUGUUUAAAGAGCAAAUCCAAGUAUUUCAGUAAUACACAAGCAAAAUGAAGUAUAUAGGCAAAGUGUUUCCACAGCGAAGACACCACCAUCCAGGACUCAGAGUGAAGCCUGGGGUC